UAAAAGAUUGGUGAAUGCUGAUGAUUCCUAUUGUCUUUGUAGCAAGCCCAAGGAUUGCAAAGGCGACCUAAUUUUGGACGAAUGUGGAUGCUGCCAUGUUUGCUCGAAAGUGAAAGGCGAAGUGUGUUGGGGGCCAUAUGGUAUUUUGAGUAAAUGUUCUAGUGGCUUAAUAUGUAUACUAGAUAACUACGAGAACCAUCUUCUAGCAAAAGGGAUAUGCACACCGGAUUACCCAAGAACCCCAGAUAUCAAAUCUUAUUAACUAUUGAUCAGGAAUAGGUUGCUAGAGCUCCUUUAACGGAAUUUUGGGGAAAACAUAAAUCAUAAAUGAUUCAAAUUAGCUCAUCAUUAGAAAUAAAAACGACACAAAGGUUACGUAAAAUUGCCUACAAUCCACAAGAUAGCUUUUCCAAACAUGAUAGAAUAUAUUUCCUAGAAAAAUACGAUUUUUAAAUUUUUAAAA
Gordionus sp. m RMFG-2023 is the source of this 463-nucleotide long non-coding RNA. RefSeq lists it as uncharacterized. The record is from RefSeq and is a predicted model, not a curated record. NCBI's taxonomy places the organism in Eukaryota, Metazoa, Nematomorpha, Gordioida, Chordodea, Parachordodidae. The transcript has 3 exons.